RNAcentral lists this ribosomal RNA (440 nucleotides) under uncultured Exiguobacterium sp. RNAcentral describes it as "bacterial SSU rRNA". It matches the Rfam family "Bacterial small subunit ribosomal RNA", at positions 358 to 790 of the family's 1533-position model. Lineage: Bacteria; Bacillati; Bacillota; Bacilli; Caryophanales. The record is from RNAcentral.
GGAAUCUUCCACAAUGGACGAAAGUCUGAUGGAGCAACGCCGCGUGAGUGAUGAAGGUUUUCGGAUCGUAAAACUCUGUUGUAAGGGAAGAACAAGUACGAGAGGUAAUGCUCGUACCUUGACGGUACCUUGCGAGAAAGCCACGGCUAACUACGUGCCAGCAGCCGCGGUAAUACGUAGGUGGCAAGCGUUGUCCGGAAUUAUUGGGCGUAAAGCGCGCGCAGGCGGCCUUUUAAGUCUGAUGUGAAAGCCCCCGGCUCAACCGGGGAGGGUCAUUGGAAACUGGAAGGCUUGAGUACAGAAGAGAAGAGUGGAAUUCCAUGUGUAGCGGUGAAAUGCGUAGAGAUGUGGAGGAACACCAGUGGCGAAGGCGACUCUUUGGUCUGUAACUGACGCUGAGGCGCGAAAGCGUGGGGAGCAAACAGGAUUAGAUACCCGAG